CCUACGGGUGGCAGCAGUGAGGAAUAUUGGUCAAUGGGCGCGAGCCUGAACCAGCCAAGUAGCGUGAAGGAUGACUGCCCUAAGGGUUGUAAACUUCUUUUAUAAAGGAAUAAAGUGAGGCACGGGUGCCUUGUUGUAUGUACUUUAUGAAUAAGGAUCGGCUAACCCCGUGCCAGCAGCCGCGGUAAUACGGAGGAUCGGAGCGUUAUCCGGAUUUAUUGGGUUUAAAGGGAGCGUAGCUGGGUUGGUAAGAACGUUGUGAAAGUUGGCGGCUCAACCGUAAAAUUGCAAUUGAUACUGGCAUCCUUGAUUUCAGUUGAGGUAGGCGGAAUUCGUGGUGUAGCGGUGAAAUGCUUAGAUAUCACG
This 366-nucleotide ribosomal RNA is filed under the name uncultured bacterium. RNAcentral's name for it is "partial 16S ribosomal RNA". It matches the Rfam family "Bacterial small subunit ribosomal RNA", at positions 338 to 701 of the family's 1533-position model. The record is from RNAcentral.